CAAUGGAAGAGGACAGUAAAUUUUGGUGGAAUGGUCAAAUGUGGAUUGGAAUUGGUGUUGGAACUGGUGUUUUGGUUUUGGUCAUUCUGAUAUUCGUUAUUACAUGGUUUGUAAGACGAAAGAGAAAUAGUAACAUCUCCUCCACAUCAGACCAAAA
Molecule: long non-coding RNA, 157 nt
Organism: Patella vulgata (common limpet)
Lineage: Eukaryota; Metazoa; Mollusca; Gastropoda; Patellidae
Exons: 2
Source: RefSeq, a predicted model, not a curated record